Molecule: small nuclear RNA, 107 nt
Organism: Myotis lucifugus (little brown bat)
Lineage: Eukaryota; Metazoa; Chordata; Mammalia; Chiroptera; Vespertilionidae
Source: Ensembl
GUGCUCACUUCGGCAGCACAUAUACUGAAAUUGGAACAAUACAGAGACAAUUAGCAUGGCCCCUGCGCAAGGAUGACACACAAAUCCGUGAAGUGGUCCAUAUUUUU